Molecule: long non-coding RNA, 40607 nt
Filed under: Gossypium barbadense (sea-island cotton)
Lineage: Eukaryota; Viridiplantae; Streptophyta; Magnoliopsida; Malvales; Malvaceae
Description: long non-coding RNA (GBAR_LNC019854)
Source: RNAcentral
AAGCUGCUUGCCGGUCUGGUGUUGUUUGGGCGGCGGAGUUGAGAGAUUUUAUGCCGCCGCAGCAACCUGGGGGAACGCCACCAGCACCAUUCCCUGUCAAGUAACCAAUGCAGGGUGCGAGGGAGCUUGUGACUUGACCACAGGUUACGGCCCCUUGAGCCAGGGGUGCACCCACCACCAUGCACAACACCGCCACACAUGCAAGCUUAAGGGACAUUGAGCUAGCCAUAUCGAUUAAUCACAAGAAAAACAAACUUGUAAGGAAAAUGCUUGCUUGGAGUAGUAGUACUAUUGCUGAUUGUCGUGGUUAGGGCUUGAGGGUAGGAGGGUUUUUAUAGCCAAAAGUAGUAGCGGGUGAUGUCUGAAUUUUACUUUCCUAGCUAUUAGGUAAGUUGAGAUUAUCCGAUCCAAACAUUAACACACCACAUUAAAAGUUGAGACCAUUCAAUUAGGUUCAACUGCCAACCUACGUGAUUAUUGUUUUCUUUCAAUACAAUUAAAACCAGCGUCCAUUUGAUUUCACUCAAUCAUGCCUCCACAGCUAGGACUCAAAUAUUGGUUUAACUUUUUUCUAGGUGUUUUCUUAUAAACAUGAGAUUUACAUUUGAUGUAUUUAUAAAUGCAUUUAUUGUCAGAAUGAUACCAUUUUAUUAAAAGUAAUUUGAUUUAUAAUUGUUUGUAUAUAUACUUUUAUAUAUUAAGUCUUUAAUUGAAUUGGUAUUACGAUUCACCCAAGCAUCUAUUUAAUUGAAAAUUUGUUAAAAUAUUCAUAUAACAAAUAUUAAUAUUAAUAUAAAUGUAUUUUUAUUUUUAUUAUAAAUAAAACUAUAAUAAGAUUUAAACUUAUGACUCAUAAAUUUUACUCUUUUUAACUUAACUAUUUCAACUAAAAUUUCAUUUAGUUUUAAUAUAAAUUUUUAUAAAUAUAUUAUUUACAUGAAUUUUCCUUUUCCAGGCGGUAUGCCAUGGAACUAAUAUAAAAUAUAAACAAAUGGUUAUUUUGUUAUUUUCAAUGGAAAAAAAAAACUUCACAAGAUUAGGACACAUGCAUGGUUUUUUUAAUAUAUAUAUAUAUAUAUCAUGCAACAUUCUAAAUCUAUUUAUAGAUUAUUUUGUUGAUUGAAUUUUUAUUUUUUUUUAUUUUGGUAAUUAUAUAAAACUAAAUAUUUUCUUCGCGCAAUGUUAAGAGCAGUUUGAAAUUUAAAAGAAGUGUGGAUUCUAAUAAUAAAUUUAGUUAUCUAAUGUUUACAUAUUUUAUUAAUUUGGUCUUAAAUAUAAAAAUUAAAUUCAACAAAAUUAGCCCUCAAUGUUUACAAAAUUUUUCAUUUUAAUUCAAAUUCUAAAAUAAUCCAAUAAAUUUAGCUCUCAACAUUUACAAAAUGAAAGGAUUUGAUUUUUAAAAUUUUAAUUUUUUUUUUUAAAAACCCAAAACACAAACCUAAAUAAACUGAAAAAGAAGAAGGAAUAAUUAUCAUCACCACGAUCUAAUCUCUCAACUUUAAAAUAAGACUUCAACUUCGGUUUAACCCCAAGACAAGGCGAAACAUUGAAAGUAAGUGCAGCGGAUGCCAUUGAUUCUCCUACCUUUUGGCUAAACACAUAAAUUUGAACAACUUCAUACAUAACUAGCAGCAGUACUAAAAAAUCAUUAAUACUAUAUUUUCAAGUACAAGAAAUUGAAAAAAGAAUCACGGGUAGAGUACAAAAAUGAAAUUUGGUGUGAACCUAGAUUAACAAAACAAGGUUCACGGUUUCUCAAAAACACAAUACUAAAUUUUUAGAAUUUCUUGUGAAGAUCAAGCAAUGAGACAAAUACUGAAAUUGGCAAUGCCUUAAUAGCAAAUAAUAAUUCAAACCAAUGUAGAAAAAAGAUGAAGAAGAAGAAGAUAGGAAAAGAAUUUUUAGUUUACAUUAAAAGCCUUGAAAAGGUAGACCGAUAGGAUUGAUUGUUUUGAAUAUUACUCAACUUUCUCAUUAAUUCUUGUACUAUUAUGGCUAAGUGUGUUUUUAGAUGGUAAUGAAUUUUUUUAAUUGUUAAUAAUUUUUACAAUUAUUACACUUGAUUUGGCAGUUGUUUUUCUUUUUAAUUUACAAAAUUUUAAAAAAUUAAAAAUUUCUAUUUUGUAAAUGCUAAGAGCUAAAUUUAUUAUUAUUUAUUUUAGAAUCUAAACUAAAGUGACAAAUUUUGUAAAUAUUUGGUGUUAAAUUUAUUGGAUUUUUAUAUUUAAAAUCAAAUUGAUAGAAUGUGUAAAGAAAGUUAAUUUUUUUAUUAGACAAAUAAAAAAUAACCCAUUUCAACACUUCCGAAAAAUUUUCAAACGGCCGUUAACAUUUAGUGAUGAAAAUAUUUGAUUUCAUAUAGUUUAAUAAUUAAAAUAAAAAUAAUUAAAAAUUUAGUAAUCAAAGUAAAACACAAGUGAUAUUAUUCUAGUGAUCAUUUCUGUACUUGACCCUAAUUUUUUUUUCAAAACACUGUUAAAAAACGAUUAAUUUCUCGUUUUGGCCGGAGUUAAAAUUUUUAAUAUAUUUGUUUUUAUUAAAUUUAAAAAUUAUAAUUUUACAUAAUAUAUUUUUGAUAGAAUACAUAUGAUAUAAUUUUAAUCAGUGACACCUGUUAAAGCUUGUUAGAUCUCCUGUAUCUCUUUCAAUCUGGUGGUAAAUGAAGCAAUCAAUGAGUAUUACAACCAGCCACAUGUCAUUCAAUUCACAUUAUAUCAAUCUUUUCCCUUUUCUCUCAUUUUGGUAGUUAAUUCCUUUUUUUGUCAUCGAAAUUAUAUUUUUUUCUCAAAUUGAUAAUUUCCUUAAUCCGUUAAGUUUGUUAAAAGAAACCUUAAUCUUAUUUAAAUUAUAUCUUUUUUUUUUUAUUUUGAUACUUAAACAUUUUUGUCACAUGUGGUAUGUAAUUUAUUUUUUCUUAAGUUGUUAGUUUAAUUAUUACUCAAAUAGUUAAGUCUAUUUAAAAAAAGAUAACUAUUUAAAAAUUACCAUAUUCGAACUAGCUAGGCCAUUAGUUCCUGGUUUAAUCAGUUUAUCUAGUUUGAUGAAAUCAAUUAUUAAAAAUUCAUAAAAAUAAAAAUGUUAAAAAAUAGAGAAAACUAGCUCAACUAGUUUUUUUUUUAAGCUCGACUCAAUCAAUCUGUAUCAGUUUGUAGGUUAAUCGGUUCAAGCCCUAUCUCCAAACUAGUAUCCCAGUUGGUUCCUAGUAUUAAGGGUGAGCAAAAUUUGAAUCGACUCGAAAAAAUUUAAAAAAGUUCAAAUUUUGAAUUAUUUGAAUCGAGUUAAUCGAAUCAACUCGAUUUUUUUUUAAUUUCAAGUUCGAGUCGAGUUGAGUUUUUGAAUUCAAAUGACUCGAAUAAUUCGAUUAAGCCGAAUACCAAACUAUAAUAUUUUACAUUUUACCUCAAACCCCAAACCCUUUUACUUUUCCCCCAAAACUUUACUCAUUCCUCCUUGUCUGCCCCUGUAACGCCCCAAAUUUUGAAUUGUUACUGUUAGUUUCUAUUUAUAAGUAAGUAUUUGCUUCAGUGGUUAAGUGUUAUGUGUUGGUGUUUGGAUCGGGGGUUCAAGUUACACUUUUAGAGAAUUUUAUUAUUCUUUUGUUUCAACUCUUAUCCUUGAAUGCUUGAAUUAAGUUUGUAUCUGCAUUAAUUUGUGUCAAGAAUGAGUCUUCUAGUUUAAUGGUUAAGUUUUGUAUUACCUAUGGUCUCGUGUUCGAGUCUCUGCGUAGGCAAUAAAGAAAUAUUUUGGCAUGCUAUCGGGAAAUCAGUUUUAUUUUAAUAAUUAUUUUUAUUUAAAACUUAUUUUUAGUUUUUUUUAUUUUGGUUCUUCUCCUUCCUUACUGUUCAUUUCCUUCUUCUUUUUUCUCCUUUUGUAACACCCCUAACUCGAAUCCGUCGCUGGAACAGGGUUAGGAGUAUUAUUGAAGUUUACAAUUUAAACAGGCAGAAAAAUUAAACAUUUCAUAACAUAUAGCAUUCAUGUUAGAAACCAAUCAUAAUUAUGCAUAUUGUCCCUAAUACGAGCCCUCGAGGCCCAAAAUACACCUUAGAAAUAAUUCGGGACUAAAUUGAAAAUUCGGAGCAUUUUUUAGAAACUUAUAAAAUUUUUAAAACUACAGGGGUCACAUGGCCGUGUGGCUAGGUUGUGUGACUCAUAUGGCCAACAGACACGCCCAUGUCUUAGACCGUGCGGGUAUUCGAAAUAGGGACACACGGUCGUGUCCCAGCCAGUGUCCAUGCCCGUGUAACUCACUAACUUGGGCCACACGGUCAAGCCAUACGCCCGUGUGCCAGGCAUUGUGAGCAUACUAACUUGCAUUCUUUAAAAGAUACAGGGGACACACGGCCAUGUCACCUGACCGUGUGUGACACACGCCCGUGUCUCUGCCCGUGUGGACAAAAAUAGGCUAUUUUUCAAGUCAUAAAUAUUCAUGUAUUCUUUAAAAGAUACAGGGGACACACGCCCGUGUCUCUGCCCGUGUCUCUGCCCAAUUUGGUACCAACCUAAACACAACAAUUUGCAUAUAACCAAGUCAUAAAUAGGCAUCCAAAACCAGCCAAAAUCAAGCUUAAAACAUGUAAUAUCAUCACAUACAACCAAUAUGCCCUUAGGCACCUCAAAUGACAACUUAUAAUAUUAAUAUUCAUGUAUUCAAUAUAGCCAAAUGUAUAACUCACUUAUAUGCAUAUUUUCAUCCAAAGUUUAUUAAGCAAAUUUACAUCAUUUCUUACCAAAUUACUUACCUUCCAAAACAUAUUAUUUGGUGCUAAAAUGUAUUUAACAUACUAACAUAUUUAACUUAUAUGCCUUACAUAUCCAGACACCAAUUCAUGAUCAAUUCUUCACAUUCCAAAACACAUAUAUGAAAUGCACAUUAGGUUACCUUUUUACCACUCUUUAUUCAAUCAUGAACCAAACUACAUGUCAACCAUAAUAAGCAAAAUAUGCACAUAUCCAAAAUUCCAUAACACAAACAAAACAAAUGGCUAAUCUCAACAAAACACAUAUAAGCCAACAUUGGCCAAACUAAUCUAUACAUGCCAUUAUAACCGAAAUUAAACAACCGAAUGUACCAAAAGAGCCAAUGGAUAGUGUGAUAUAGCUCCGACAAGCUUUCAACCAGAACGAGCUUUCGAAUCACUAAAAACACAGAAAAUAACACAGAGUAAGCAUUCAAGCUUAGUAAGUUCAUAUAGCAUAUAAUUUAACUUACCAUUUAGUCACAUUUAAGGUAAGCAUACAAAACAUAUCCAAACUCAAUUAGGAUAAAAGCCUCAACACAUAUCCUCAUCAACCAUGUUAGUCAUGUAAUUCAUAUAAAUAUCAAGAAACAUGUAUGAGCUCAACAAUAAUCAAACUUGCAUGUACAUAUAAUUUCCACAUCAUGUAUUUACAUAUCAUGUACAAAUCAUUUUCAUAUAUCUCAUGUAAAUACAUGUAGUAGUUUGUAUUGAACUCAUGUAAUAUCAUAACAGAACAGUGCCCGUUGAACCAUUUAGAUUAUUGUUGGAUACGCGGAUAGUACACAUGAGGUGUACUGAACUGUAAUUCAUCAAUUCAUGUACAUGUAUGCUCAUAUGAGCUAUAAACAGUAAGCUCCUCUGAGAUGAAUAACAAUAAGCUUGUACGAGCUGAAUAUCGGUAAGCUCAUAUGAGCUGAGUAUCGGUAAGCUCAUAAGAGCUGAAAUCGAUAACCCUAAUGACAUGUUUACCAAGCCAUGACAUUCCACUAACACAUUUAACCUUUAAAAUUAUUUCAAUUUACAAGUUUAAGAAAGAACAUAAAAGAUGAUACUUGGCUUUAUUUUACUAAAUUUUGUUAUUUACUUAAUUACUUAUUUAACCUUUAAAAUCAUUUCAAUUUACAAGUUUACUAAGCCAUGACAUUCCACUAACACAUUUAAGGGUUAUUUACCAUAUAAGGACCUCUACUUUAAAUUUUUAUAGCUAUUUAAUACCUUUAGCUAUUAGAACUUUACUUUUACACUUUACGCGAUUUAGUCAUUUUUAUCAAAUUGAACAUGUAAACGGUAAAAUUUCUUAACGAAAUUUUCAUAUGGUAAUAUUAUCAUGUUUUCGACCAUAAAAUAAUAAUAAAAUAAAAUUUUUUACUUCAUAUUUGUGGUCCCAAAACUACUAUUCUGAUUUCACUGAAAAUGGGUUGUUACACCUUUCUUGCUUGAUUGCUUCCGUAAGUUUGCUAUCGUGCUUAAUUGGGCAUUCUGUGUGGUUUCUUACAUUGAUUGCAAGGAUAUUGCGUAAGUUAUGUUGUUGUUUUUUACCUAUUUUUUCUAGACUUCGUCUGUUUCGUCGAGGUUAGAUAUUACUGUUAAUGGUUGUAAAAUCUCGUUAAUAGUUCCAAUGGAUCUUCUUUUAGGAAAAGGUUUCAAAAGUAACAUUUCCCUGUGAGAUUAGGUCCGAAUUGUUGUUGCUUGCUUGUCAGUAAUUGAAAAUUUCUAUUUUGGAUAGCUGCGUCGAAGUUUUCGACGAACGUUAGUUUUGAGUGCUAAUUUUGGCAUUUUGAGUUGAUUUAGUCAUUUAAUUCGUCAAUUAAUUGUCGUUUUAGGUUUCAGAUUCUUGUGUGUUGCUUCUACAUCGAAACUACAUCAAGUGUGUAACGAAAACUCAUUUUUCUAUGAUUUACGAAUGCUAGAAAACAUGGCUGUUAAUCACACGACCGUGUGUUAGGCCAUGUAACUUACUGUUUAUGUAUUAAAGUCACCGAGCCAAGGACGUGGGCGUGUGUCCUAGUCGUGUAACUUACUAUUUGUGGAUUGGAGUCACACAGGCUAGGGACACGUUUGUGUGUCCAGACUGUGUGAAGGAAAUUUUAUGAAUUGAGUCACACAAGCGUGUGCUUGACUAUGUCAUAGACCGUGUAACUCACUUUUUUGAGCCACACGAUCGUGUGCCAGGCCGUGUGAUAGAUCGUGUGCUACACGGGCCAGCCUUCCGGGACAUGUGAAUCCACACAAGUGUGUGGGUCAAAAUUUCAAAUUUUUUAUUAGGGCCGUAAACAUCAUUCCAGUCAAACGUAGGCCUACUGUAGGGUCUGGAUGAUCUGAUUUGGGUUAUAAAACCCAUUGACUAGUUAUCUGUUUCUGUAUAAACUGUUAUUUUAUAUACAUCAUAGAAUUGUAAACUAGAGAGUAGUUGUAUUCUGUAUUAAUUGAGUAUAACCUGAAAUUUGUAACAUCGUAUGCUUAUAUCUGUAUCUGUAACAUUGCAUCUGCAUUGGGGUUGGGAUUGAAUAAGGAGGAAGUUAUGGCAGUUAAAUAAUCUGCUAAGACUGGUGGCUAAGACACGUAAAUGUAUCUAAUUUUGGUGACUUUCGCAUUCUGUCCUAGCAAUUAGUCUGCAACCUUUUGAACGUGACAUAUGGUCACUAUGUGGUGUGUAGGGACGAUACCCUUUUUGGUGUGUAGGGUUGGAUGCAGAUGGUGUGUAAUUGACAUAUUCUACUCUAUUUCCGUAUAUAAUUCUGAGAACUGUUCUAACUUUAAGAAAUUGAAGAUCUAUUUUGUUGUUUCACUUAAUAAUAAUAUAAGUUAUACGCUAUGUAUAACACCCUUUACCCGAGACCGUGGUCGGAGUCGAGCAUGAGGUGUUACUUGACUUAACUUAAAAGUUCAGGGCAUAAAAAUUUACUUUCAAAAUUAAUUUCACCAUUCACAAUAAAGUUGUCCACCUGAGCAGCAGUCACUAAAUUAAUUAUAACUCAAGCUAAGAAACUCGAAAUUUAGAUUCGUAAAUUUUCCCUGAAACUAGACUCAUAUAUCUAUUCACAAAAAUUUUUCAGAAUUUUUUAUUUGACCAAUUAGUACAGUUUAUUAGUUGAAGUCUCCCCAGUUUCACUAAUCGACUAUCCUGACCUCUCGUCACUAAAAUUCAAUUAUCUCAUUAUACAGACUUGACAUGCUGAUUCCACUUAUUUAUACUUAAAAUAUACUCAUUAAGGAAUUUAAAAAUAUAAUUUAUAACUCAUAAUUCUAUUUGUACAAUUUUUAAUGAAUUUCUAAAGUCAGAACAGGGGACUUCAGAAUCAUUCUGACUCUGUCUCACUAAAAUUAAAAUAUCUAAAAGUAUAUAACUCUUUUGCUUACUCUAUUGCUUUCAUGUGAAAGUAGACUCAUUCAGAUUUAAUUUCAUCUCUCGCUAAACAUAUAAUUCUAUUUCUACAAUUUUUGGUAAUUUUUCAAAGUUACAUCAAUGCUGCUGCCCAAAAAUAGUUCCAUUGAAAUUUUUAAAAAAAAAUUCAAUAUAACCCCUUUAUAAUUAUCUAACCUUCCCUGCAAAUUUCAAAUCACAACCAAUUUCAGUAUUUCAACUACUUCACUUAAAUACUAAUGAAGUUCAACUAAUCAACCAUUUCAAACUAAAAACAUGUAUAGUUCAAUGUUUAACACAACCAUCACAUUCAAAUUUAUUCAUUCUAUUACUUUUUACUUCAAUUCCCUAUACAUGUCAUAUAAAUCCAAAAAGUUGUUUAACAAAAUCUACAGGAGUAAAUCUGGAUAGUGUGAUUCUUGGUGUAGAUCUGAUCCUCCGAAUGUAUAAAUACGUCAAUCUACAAGAAUCAAUAAACACACAAUUAAGCGUAUAGAAAGCUUAGUAAGUUCAUAGGCACCAAACAUAAAUCUUACCAAACAUUUAUACACUUAUACAUUAUACACCAUUACUAAGUUUACCUGUCAACCACAAUCUUUGGUGAGUUCCUUGGUAUAAACUCACUACUACUUAUUCUUUUACCAUAAUUCCUUUGGGCCCAUUUGUCACUUACCAUCCUUGAUCAAAAUUAAGGAACGGUUACGGAAAAUUGAGUACUUCACUUUCACUUUGCCAUAGUAUAACUAUGGUCUUACGUAUGAUCAAACAUCACUUGUCCUUGAUAAGAUAAGUGUAGCUAGGCAACCACUUAUCACUUUGUCACUUGAUCAGAUAAGUGCAGCUAAAGCUACCAUUUAUCACUUUAUCACCACUUAUCACUUGUUCUUGAUUAGAUAAGUGUAGCUAAAGUUACCACUUAUCACUUUGUCACCACUUAUCACUUGUUCCUAAUCAGAUAAGUGUAGCUAAAACUACCACUUAUCACUUUGUCACUUGAUCAGAUAAGUGUAGCUAAGCUAUCACUUAUCACUUUGUCACUUGAUCAGAAGUACUCAAAUCCGGUGUUCUGCUCAAUUUGAUCAUUUAUUCAGUUUUCACAUUUUUAUUUUAUUCUCAUUUCAUCAAUAAAUAUAUAUAUUUCAUCAUACAUUAUAUAAUUCAUGAAAUUAACAUUUAAUCAUUAAAUUUUAGCCAUAUGAACUUACCUGGGUUGAUUUGCUGAAUUUGUAAAAGUUUAGGGACUAAUCAGCUACUUUUUUUUUCCUCGACUUGUUUCGGGUUCUCAAUAUGAUUCAAAUAUAUGAAAAACCAACUUGGAGGGACUCUUCAAUGGUGUUUUUUGCUAAAAAAUAUGAGGAAUUGCCUAGAAACACUUUUAGUUAAGAUUUUUAUUUGUUAUUUUUUACAAAAUUUCCAAUUUUGCCCUUAUUACAUCACUUUUUCAAAUUUUUCUUCUCUUAUGUCGUCUCAACUAUUCCAUAUUGGCAUAUUUAUGCCUUAAGUCCCUCCUUAUUUACCACUUAAGCUAUUUAAUCACUUUUAACAAAUUUUACAUUAUUUUCAGUUUAAUCCUUUUUAAUUAAUUAACCACCCAAACGUUAGAAUUUUCUAACGAAAAUUUAAUACCAACUCAAUGACACUCCAUAAAUGUUUCUAAAAAUAUUUAUGGCUCGAUUUAUGAGGUUGAGGUUUCAAUACCUCAUUUUCGAUUCUAAUUAUUUUAAUAUUUAUUCUUAGUACAUUAUUCACUAUUUCAAAAAUUUUCCUAACUUCGCAUUUAACUUAUACUCACUAAAUUAAUAAUAUUUUCUACUCAUUUGUCAAAUUUAAUGAUCUCGAAUUACCAUUCCGACACCACUGAAAAUUCAGGCCAUUACAACUCUCCCCCCAUUUUGGAAAUUUCAUCACCGAAAUUUCGUACCUGAAAAUAAAUUCGGAUACUGAAAUCUCAGCAAUUCCUCUGUUUCCCAGGUUGCCUCCUCAGAUCCAUGUCGAUUCCAUAACACCUUAACUAGUGGUACAUGUUUAUUCCUCAACUCUUUAACCUUCUGAGCUAAAAUUUUCACCGGUUCCUCUGAAUAAGUCAUGUCAGGUUGAAGCUCUAUUUCCGUAUGAGGAAUUACAUGUGAUGGAUCUGAUCUGUACCGUCUCAACAUAGACACAUGAAACACAUUAUGAAUCUUUUCAAGUUCCGGGGGCAAAGCUAAUCUAUAGGUUACCGGACCGAUUCUUUCAAUGAUUUCAUACGGCCCGAUAAAUCGUGGGCUGAGUUUCCCCUUUUUGCUGAACCGCAAAACUUUCUUCCACGGUGACACUUUCAAAAAUACACGAUCACCCACAUUAAACUCUAUAUCCCUUCUCUUCAAAUUUGCAUAUGAUUUUUGCCGAUCGGAGGUAGCUUUUAAACAAUCUCGAAUAAUACGAACUUUUUCUUCAGUUUCCUGAGUCAAUUCCACUCCCACUAGUUUCGAUUCACUUAAUUCAGACCAAUAUAAUGGAGUUCUACACUUUCUUCCAUACAAAGCUUCAAACGGUGCCAUUUUAAUGCUAGUUUGAUAACUAUUAUUAUAAGCAAAUUCGGCUAAAGGUAAAUACCUUUCCCAGCUACCGCCGAACUCAAGUAUACAACACCUUAACAUAUCUUCUAAAAUCUGAAUCACUCGCUCUGACUGCCCAUCUGUCUAGGGAUGAAAAGCUGUGUUGAAAUUUAAUUUGGUGCCUAAAGCUUCCUGUAAUUUACUCUAAAAUCUCGAGGUAAAUCUCGGAUCUUGAUCUGAAAUAAUAGAUGUCGGUACCCCAUGUAACCUCACUAUCUCAGACACAUAUAACUCCGCUAACUUUUCAAGCUGAUAAUCUGCUCUGACUGGAAUAAAAUGUGCUGACUUAGUUAACCGAUCAACAAUCACCCAUAUUGAAUGUUUCUUCUUCAGAGUUACUAGUAAUCCAGAUACAAAAUCCAUCGUAACAUGUUCCCAUUUCCAAUCUGGAAUCAUAAUGGGCUGUAACAACCCUGUCGGCACUUGAUGCUCAGCUUUCACCUGUUGACAGAUCAAACAUCUUGCUACAUACUCAAAGAUUUCCCGUUUCAUUCCGGGCCACCAAUACAUUUUCUUCAAAUCACAAUACAUUUUUGUACUACCCGGGUAAAUAGAACACAUACUACUGUGAGCCUCUGAUAAAAUAUCAUUUUUCAAGUUUAAAUUAUUCGGAAUACAUAUUCUAUUACGAUAAUAUAACAUACCAUUUUCAUCAAUGGAGUAUUCUGAGCUUAACUUAUCUUGAACCAUCUGUCGCUUUAUCAUCAAUUUUGGGUCAUCAUCCUAUAACUCCCGAAUCCGUUGAAAGAACACGGGUUUAGCCUUUAAUUCUGCUAGUACAGAACCAUCCUCAUUAAUAGAUAAAUGAGCAUUCAAUGCCCGUAGUGCAAAUAAUGAUGAUUUCCGACUAAGCGCAUCUGCUGCGGCAUUUGCUUUCCCUGGGUGAUAGUCAAUGACAAGAUCAUAAUCUUUCAGCAACCCCAACCAUCGUCUCUGUGUCAAAUUUAACUCUUUCUGAGUCAUUAAAUACUUCAAGCUUUUAUGAUCAGUAUACACGUAACAUUUCUCACCAUAUAAGUACUCUCCAUAUCUUCAAAGCAAACACGAUCGCUGCCAAUUCCAAAUCAUGUGUAGGAUAAUUCUUGUCGUGCGGUUUCAGUUGCCAAGAAGCAUAUGCCACCACUUUGCCUGACUGAAUAAGUACACAGCCCAACCCAUUUACAGAUGCAUCACUAUAUACUACAAACGGUACACCCGAUUCUGGUUGAGUCAACACUGGAGCCUCUGUCAACAUCUUUUUCAACUGAUCGAAACUCCGCUGACAUUCAUCUAACCAUAUAAAUUCAACAUUCUUUUGUAGCAAUCGAGUUAACGGUAAGGUAAUCAUUGAGAAAUCUUUGACAAAUCGACGAUAAUAACCUGCCAAUCGUAGAAAACUCUGCACUUCAGUCACAUUCUUCGGAACUUUCCAAUUUAUCACUGCCGCUACCUUACUUGGAUCCACUCUUAUUCCAUCAGCUGAUACAAUAUGACCCAAAAAUGCAACUUCAUGGAGCCAAAAUUCACAUUUGCUGAAUUUGGCAUACAAUUGUUUCUCCCACAAAGUCUGUAAUACAAUCAUUAGAUGUUGUGCAUGUUCGGACUCUGUCUUUGAAUAAAUCAAUAUAUCGUCAAUGAACACAACCACAAAUCUAUCCAAAUAUGACUGAAAAAUUCUAUUCAUCAAAUCCAUAAAAGCAGCAGGGGCAUUGGUUAAACCAAAUGGCAUCACCAAAAAUUCAAAAUGACCAUAUCGAGUUCGAAAGGCAGUUUUCGGCACUUCACACUCUUUAACUUUCAACUGAUAAUACUCGGAUCGAAGAUCUAUCAUGGAAAAUACUGUAGCACCUUUCAACUGAUCAAACAAAUCAUCAAUAUGAGGCAAAGGAUUUUUAUUCUUUACUGUUACCUUAUUCAACUGUCUGUAAUCUAUACACAGUCUUAAAAAACCGUCCUUCAUUUUCACAAACAAGACAGGUGUACCCCAGGGCGACAUACUCGGUCUGAUGAACCCUUUAUCUAAUAACUCCUGCAGCUGCGCCUUCCGUUCUUUUAACUCGACUGGAGCCAUUCUGUAUGGUGUCAUUGAGAUAGGAGUUGUUCCGGGGAUCACAUCAAUUACAAAUUCAACUUCUCUAUCAGGUGGUAGACCGGGUAACUCUUCAGGGAACAUAUCAGGGAAUUCAUUCACCAUUGGCACUUGUUCGAGCUUCAAACCAGAACCCUGAGUAUCCAGGAUAUAGGCCAAGAAUGCUUCGUUGCCUUUGUGUAAUAACCUCUGAGCAGAGAGAGCUAAAAUAAUUCUGACUGUAUCACCCAGAUUUUCAGACCCAACUGAGAUUAUAUCUCCCGUUUGACAUUUCAAACUGAUUUGUUUAUCACGAUAAUUCACUACCGCAUCAUGUCUCAUUAACCAGUCCAUCCCCAGAAUAAUGUCAAAUUCCCGAAAAGGUAACAACAUCAAAUCAGCGAGGAAUUCAUAGCCUUUCACUUUCAGUGGACAAUUACGACAUAUCAAAUUAACCAUCACACUUUGACCUAAUGGGUUUGUGACUUGUAUAUCAAAUUCAGUGGACUCAACAGAUAAUUUCUUUUUAGAUGCUAACAUAGUGCAAAUAUAUGAAUGAGUAGAUCCAGGGUCUAUCAAUGCAUAAACAAUAACAUCAUAAAGAUAGAAAGUACCAGCAAUUACAUCAGGAGCCGUAGCCUCUUUCCUUGCUCGAAUGGCGUAGGUACGUGCUGGUGCUCUAUUCUCUGAUCGACCAACUGAUUCCCUCGUACCCGAACGGGUAGUCCCUGUAGCACUGCUCUGGCCCGAACGUCUACUUUUUUGGGGAAUGGUUCUCUGUAUUUCUUUCUGUUCCACUUCAUCUUUUUACAGUCGGGAACAAUCUCGAAUAAGAUGAUUAGUACCCUCACAUUUUUAACAAGCCCCUAUCUUGGUCCUGCAUUCUCUGAAAUGAUAUCUUCCACAAUAUUGACACUUAGGCCGGGGAGCAUUCUGAACACUGCUCACACUUGCUGGAGGUCUAUCGAAUACCCUGAAAUCAGAUUGUCUUGGUCUAUCUCUACCCGAUCUUCUCGACAGUGAUGUAGUUCGACUAAUUUCUUCUCUAGAUUUGUUCACUGGUAAAUCUAAAAAUGACUUAGAAGCACCUCUUUUGAAUGGCUCUUUACUUUUUCGAUCCCGCUACAUUUUUCUGUUGUAUACUUCUUCGAGCUUUUGAGCACGGUCUGACAGAACAGGGAACUCUCGUAUUUCAUUACCCCCAAUCAUCAUUCUAAUUUCAUCAUUUAACCCUUCUUCAAACCUGAUACACAUUUCUUCUUUAAUAAGUACAAUGUCUCGGGCAUAUUUGCUGAGGUAGACAAAUUCUCUUUCGUAUUCAGCCACUGAUUUAUCUCCCUGGCGUAGGUCGAGAAAUUCCCUUUUAUUUUUAUCCAAAUACCGUCUGCCCACAUAUUUCUUCUUAAAUUCAUUUUGGAAAAAUUCCCAAUAAAUUUUCUCUGUCGGAACCACAUCCUCAAUCGUCUCCCACCAACUAUAAGCUUCUUCUUUCAAUAGAGACACAACACAACUCAAAUAAUCAUCUAGUGAGCAAACCAUUUCUUUAAAAAUUCUUAUUAAACUCUGUAACCAAUAUUCAGCUUUGACGGGAUCUUUAUCAGUCCUUCCCCGAAAUUCUUCGGCUCCAAGUUUUUUAAGCCUUUCCAAUGGAGAACGCUUUCUGGAUUCAGUCGUUGUAAAAGGUGGAGGAGCAACCGGGUGUGCCACCGAUGGAGCAGUAGGGGGAGGAGGUGGUUCAGCCUGAUUUCUUUCUUGCCUCAUUUCAGUAUAUCAUUGAUUCAUAAUCCCAUAAAUCAUAUUCUUUAACUCUUGCUCUCGCAUUUGGGAGAUCGGAACAUCACUGCUUGUUCUUUGUUUAGAAUUAUGUAUUCUACUAUUAACUUCUUCUUUCUCAGUACGUUUAGGUAUAUCUGACAUCUCCAUAACCGGAGAAUAUCUACUAUUAACUUCUUCUUACUGGAUUCAGUCGUUGUAAGAGGUGGAGAAGCAACCGGGGGUACCACCGAUGGAGCAGUAGGCAGAGGAGGUGGUUCAGCCUGAUUUCUUUCUUGCCUCAUUUCAGUAUACCACUGAUUCAUAAUCCCAUAAAUCAUAUUCUUUAACUCUUGCUCCCGUAUUUGGGAGAUCAGAACACCACUGCUUGUUCUUUGUUCAGAAUUAUGUAUUCUACUAUUAACUUCUUCUUGCUCAGUACGUUCAGGUAUAUCUGACAUCUCUAUAACCGGAGAAUAUCUAUAAAAAUAACAAAGAUUAGAUCGCAUCAUACGCAUUACACUAUCACAGAUUUAUAUGGCAUGUAUUUCUAAACACUUUACACUUUACACAUAUUCCGAGAACCGGCUAAACCUGGAUCUGAUACCAAUAAAAUGUAACACCCUUUACCUGAGACCGUUUCCAGAGUCGAGCAUGAGGCGUUACUUGACUUAACUUAAAAGUUCAGGGCAUAAAAAAUUACUUUCAAAAUUAAUUUCACCAUUCACAAUAAAGCUGUCCACCCACGCAGCAAUCUCUAAAUUAAUUAUAACUCAAGAUGCGAAACUCGAAAUUUAGAUCUGUAUAUUUUACCUAAAACUAGACUCAUAUAUCUAUUCACUACAAAAUUUUCAGACUUUUUGGUUUGGCAAAUUAGUACAGUUUAUUAAUUGAAGUCUCCCCUGUUUCACUAAUAGACUAUCCUGACCUCUCGUCACUAAAAUUCAAUUAUCUCAUUAUACAAACUUGACUUGGUGCUUUCAAUUAUUUUUACUUAAAAUAGACUCAUUAAGGAAUUUAAACAUAUAAUUUAUAACUCAUAAUUCAUUUUGUACAAUUUUUAAUGAAUUUCUAAAGUCAAAAUAGGGGACUUCAAAAUCAUUCUGACUCUGUCUCACUAAAAUUCAAAUAUCUAAAAGUAUAUAACUCUUUUGCUUACUCUAUUGCUUUAAUGUGAAAGUAGGCUCAUUCAGCUUUAAUUUCAUCUCUCACUCAACUUAUAAUUCUAAGUCCACAUUUUUGGUGAUUUUUCAAAGUUACAUCAAUACUGCUGUCCAAAAACUGUUCCAUUGAAAUUUUUUUAAAAAAUUUCAAUAUAACCCUUUUAUAAUUAUCUAACCUUCCCUGCAAAUUUUAAAUCACAACCAAUUUCAGUAUUUCAACCACUUCACUUAAAUACUAAUGAAGUUCAACCAAUCAACCAUUUCAAACUAAAAACAUGCAUAGUUCAAUGUCUAACACAACCAUCACAUUCAAAUUUACUUUGCAUAUUUAGAUAUUCAUUCUUUUACUUUUUACUUCAAUUCCCUAUACAUGUCAUAUAAAUCCAAAAAGUUGUUUAACAAAAUCUACCGGAGUAAAUCUUGAUAGUGUGAUUCUUGGUGUAGAUCCGAUCCUCUGAAUGUAUAAAUACGUCAAUCUACAAGAAUCAAUAAACGCACAAGUAGGCUUAAUAAACACACAAGUAAGCUUAUAGAAAGCUUAGUAAGUUCAUAGGCACCAAACAUAAAACUUACCAAACAUUUAUACACUUAUACAUUAUACACCAUUACUAAGUUUACCUGUCAACCACAUUCUUUGGUGAGUUCCUUGGUAUAAACUCACUAAUACUUAUUCUUUUACCAUAAUUCCUUUGGGCCCAUUUGUCACUUACCAUCCUUGAUCAAAAUUAAGGAACGGUUACGGAAAAUUGAGUACUUCACUUUCACUUUGCCAUAGUAUAAAUAUGGUCUUACGUAUGAUCACUUAUCACUUGUCCUUGAUCAGGUUAGUGUAGCUAGGCUACCACUUAUCACUUGUUCCUGAUCAGAUAAGUGUAGCUAAGCUAUCACUUGUCACUUUGUCACUUGAUCAAAAGUACUCAAAUCCGGUGUUCCGCUCAAUUUGAUCACUUAUUCAGUUUGCGCAUUUUUAUUUUAUUCUCAUUUCAUCAAUAAAUAUAUAUAUAUAUUUCACCAUACAUUAUAUAAUUCAUGAAAUUAACAUUUAAUCAUUAAAUUUCAUCCAUAUGAACUUACCUAGGUCGAUUUUCUGAAUUUGUAAAAGUUCAAGGACUAAUCAGCUACUUUUUCUUUUCCUCGACUUGUUUCGGGUUCUCGAUAUGAUUCAAAUAUAUGAAAAACUAGCUUGGAGGGACUCUUCAAUGGCGUUUUUUGCUGAGAAAUAUGAUGAAUUGCCUAGAAACUCUUUUAGUUAAGAUUUUUAUUUGUUAACUUUUACAAAAUUUCUAAUUUUGCCCUUAUUACAUCACUUUUUCAGAUUUUUCUUCUCUUAUGCCGUCUCAACUAUUCCAUAUUAGCAUAUUUAUGCCUUAAGUCCCUCCUUAUUUACCACUUAAGCUGUUUAAUCACUUUUAACAAAUUUUACAUUAUUUUCAGUUUAGUCAUUUUUAAUUAAUUAACCACCAAAACGUUAGAAUUUUCUAACGAAACUUUAAUACCAACUCAAUGACACUCUAUAAAUGUUUCUAAAAAUAUUUAUGGCUCGAUUGAUGAGUUUGAGGUUUCGAUACCUCAUUUUCGACUCUAAUUAUUUUAAUAUUUAUUCUUAGUACACUAUUCACUAUUUCAAAAAUUUUCCUAACUUCGCAUUUAACUUAUACUCACUAAAUUAAUAAUAUUUUCUACUCAUUUGUCAAAUUUAAUGAUCUCGAAUUACCAUUCCGACACCACUGAAAAUUCAGGCCAUUACAACUCUCCCCCCAUUUUGGAAAUUUCGUCCCCGAAAUUUCGUACCUGAAAAUAAAUUCGAAUACUGAAAUCUCAUCAAUUCCUCUGUUUCCCAGGUUGCCUCCUCAGAUCCAUGUCGAUUCCAUAACACCUUAACUAGUGGUACAUGUUUAUUCCUCAACUCUUUAACAUCCCAAGCUAAAAUUUUCACCGGUUCCUCUGAAUAAGUCAUGUCAGGUUGAAGCUCUAUUUCCGUAUGAGGAAUUACAUGUGAUGGAUCUGAUUUGUACCGUCUCAACAUAGACACAUGAAACACAUUAUGAAUCUUUGCAAGUUCCGGGGGCAAAGCUAAUCUAUAGGUUACCAGACCGAUUCUUUCAAUGAUUUCAUACGGCCCGAUAAAUCGUGGGCUGAGUUUUCCCUUUUUGCUGAACCGCAAAACUUUCUUCCACGGUGACAGUUUCAAAAAUACACGAUCACCCACAUUAAACUCUCUAUCCCUUCUCUUCAAAUCUGCAUAUGAUUUUUGCUGAUCGGAGGCAGCUUUUAAGCAAUCUCGAAUAAUACGAACUUUUUCUUCAGUUUCCUGAGUCAAUUCCACUUCCACCAGUUUCAAUUCACUUAAUUUAGACCAAUAUAAUGAAGUUCUACACUUUCUUCCAUACAAAGCUUCAAACGGUGCCAUUUUAAUGCUAGUUUGAUAACUAUUAUUAUAAGCAAAUUCGGCUAAAGGUAAAUACCUUUCCCAGCUACCGCCGAACUCAAGUAUACAACACCUUAACAUAUCUUCUAAAAUCUGAAUCACUCGCUCUGACUGCCCAUCUGUCUGGGGAUGAAAAGCUGUGUUGAAAUUUAAUUUGGUGCCUAAAGCUUCCUGUAAUUUACUCUAAAAUCUCGAGGUAAAUCUCGGAUCUCGAUCUGAAAUAAUAGAUGUCGGUACCCCAUGUAACCUCACUAUCUCAGACACAUAUAACUCCGCUAACUUUUCAAGCUGAUAAUCUGCUCUGACUGGAAUAAAAUGUGCUGAUUUAGUUAACCGAUCAACAAUCACCCAUAUCGAAUCUUUCUUCUUCGAAGUUACUGGUAAUCCGGAUACAAAAUCCAUCGCAACAUGUUCCUAUUUCCACUCUGGAAUCAUAAUGGGCUGUAACAACCCUGUCGGCACUUGAUGCUCAGCUUUCACCUGUUGGCAGAUCAAACAUCUUGCUACAUACUCACAGAUUUCCCAUUUAAUUCCGGGCCACCAAUACAUUUUCUUCAAAUCACAAUACAUUUUUGUACUAACCCGGUGAAUAGAACACAUACUACUGUGAGCCUCUGAUAAAAUAUCAUUUUUCAAGUUUAAAUUAUUCGGAAUACAUAUUCUAUUACGAUAAUAUAACAUACCAUUUUCAUCAAUGGAGUAUUCUGAGCUUAACUUAUCUUGAACCAUCUGUCGUUUUAUCAUCAAUUUUGGGUCAUCAUCCUGUAACUCUUGAAUCCAUUGAAAGAACACGGGUUUAGCCUUUAAUUCUGCUAGUACAGAACCAUCCUCAUUAAUAGAUAAAUGAGCAUUCAAUGCCCGUAGUGCAAAUAAUGAUGAUUUCUGACUAAGUGCAUCUGCUGCGGCAUUUGCUUUCCCUGGGUGAUAGUCAAUGACAAGAUAAUAAUCUUUCUGCAACUCUAACCAUCGUCUCUAUCUCAAAUUUAACUCUUUCUGAGUCAUUAAAUACUUUAAGCUUUUAUGAUCAGUAUACACGUAACAUUUCUCACCAUAUAAGUAGUGUCUCCUUAUCUUCAAAGCAAACACGAUCGCUGCCAAUUCAAAAUCAUGUGUAGGAUAAUUCUUGUCGUGCGGUUUCAGUUGCCGAGAAGCAUAUGCCACCACUUUGCCUGACUGAAUAAGUACACAGCCCAACCCAUUUACAGAUGCAUCACUAUAUACUACAAAUGGUACACCCGAUUCUGGUUGAGUCAACAUUGGAGCCUCUGUCAACAUCUUUUUCAACUGAUCAAAACUCCGCUGACAUUUAUCUGACCAUAUAAAUUCAACAUUCUUUUGUAGAAAUCGAGUCAACUGUAAGGUAAUCAUUGAGAAAUCUUUGAUAAAUCGACAAUAAUAACAUGCCAAUCGUAGAAAACUCCACACUUCAAUAACAUUCUUCGGAACUUUCCAAUUUACCAUUGCCGCUACCUUACUUGGAUCGACUCUUAUUCCAUCAGCUGAUACAAUAUGACCCAAAAAUGCAACUUCAUGGAGCCAAAAUUCUCAUUUGCUAAAUUUGGCAUACAAUUGUUUCUCUCACAAAGUCUGUAAUACAAUCCUUAGAUGUUGUGCAUGUUCGGACUCUGUCUUUGAAUAAAUCAAUAUAUCGUCAAUGAACAACCACAAAUCUAUCCAAUUAUGACUGAAAAAUUCUAUUCAUCAAAUCCAUAAAAGCAGCAAGGGCAUUGGUUAAACCAAAUGGCAUCACCAAAAAUUCAUAAUGACCAUAUCGAGUUUGGAAGGCAGUUUUCGGCACAUCACACUCUUUAACUUUCAACUGAUAAUACCCAGAUUGAAGAUCUAUCUUGGAAAAUAUUGCAGCACCUUUCAACUGAUCAAAUAAAUCAUCAAUAUGAGGCAAAGGAUAUUUAUUCUUUACUGUUACCUUAUUCAACUGCCUGUAAUCUAUACACAGUCUUAGAGAACCGUCCUUUUUUUUCACAAACAAGACAGGUGCACCCCAGGGCGACAUACUCAGUCUGAUGAACCAUUUCUCUAAUAACUCCUGUAACUGCGCCUUCAACUCUUUUAACUCGGCUGGAGCCAUUCUGUACGGUGUCAUUGAGAUAGGAGUUGUUCCGGCGAUCACAUCAAUUACAAAUUCAACUUCUUUAUCAGGUGGUAGACCGGGUAACUCUUCAGGGAACACAUUAGGGAAUUCAUUCACUACUGGCACUUGUUUGAGCUUCAAACCAGAACCCUGAGUAUCCAUGAUAUAGGCCAAGAAUGCUUCGUUGCCUUUGCGUAAUAACCUCUGAGCAGGGAGAGCUGAAAUAAUUCUGACUGUAUCACCCAUAUUUUCAGACCCAACUGAGAUUAUAUCUCCCGUUUGACAUUUCAAAUUGAUCUGUUUAUCACGACAAUUCACUACCGCAUCAUGUCUCACUAACCAGACCAUCCCAAGAAUAAUGUCAAAUUCUCGAAAAGGUAACAACAUCAAAUCAGCGGGGAAUUCAUAGCCUUUCACUUUUAAUGGACAAUUACGACAUAUCAAAUUAACCAUCACACUUUGACCUAAUGGGUUUGUGACUUGUAUAUCAAAUUCAAUGGACUUAACAAAUAAUUUCUUUUCAGAUGCUAACAUAGUGCAAAUAUAUGAAUGAGUAGAUCUAGGGUCUAUCAAUGCAUAAACAAUAACAUCAUAAAGAUAGAAAGUACCAACAAUUACAUCAGGAGCCGUAGCCUCUUCCCUUGCUCGAAUGGCGUAGGUACGUGCUGGUGCUCUAUUCUUUGAUCGACCAACUGAUUCCCUCGUACCCGAACGGGUAGUCCCUGUAGCACUGCUCUGGCCCGAAUGUCUACUUCUUUGGGGAAUGGUUCUCUGUAUCUCUUUCUGUUCCACUUCAUCUUUUUACAGUCGGGGACAAUCUCGAAUAAGAUGAUUAGUAGCCCUACAUUUUUAACAAGCCCCCAUCUUGGUCCUGCAUUCUCCGAAAUGAUAUCUUCCACAAUAUUGACACUUAGGCCGGGGAGCAUUCUGAACACCGCUCACACUUGCUGCAGGUCUAUCGAAUACCCUGAAAUCAGAUUGUCUUGGUCUAUCUCUACCCGAUCUUCCCAACAUUAAUGUAGUUCGACUAAUUUCUUCUCUAGAUUUCUUCACUGGCAAAUCUAAAAAUGACUUAGAAGCACCUCUUUUGAAUGGCUCUUUACUUUUUCGAUCCCGCUGCAUUUUUCUGUUGUAUACUUCUUCGAGCUUUUGAGCACGGUCUGACAGAACAACGAACUCUCGUAUUUCAUUACCCCCAAUCAUCAUUCUAAUUUCAUCAUUUAACCCUUCUUCAAACCUGAUACACAUUUCUUCUUUAGUAGGUACAAUGUCUCGGGCAUAUUUGCUGAGGUAAACAAAUUCUCUUUCGUAUUCAGCCACUGAUUUAUUUCCCUGGCGUAGGUCGAGAAAUUCCCUUUUAUUUUUAUCCAAAUACCGUCUGCCCACAUAUUUCUUCUUAAAUUCAUUUUGGAAAAAUUCCCAAUAAAUUUUCUCUGCUGGAACCACAGCCUCAAUCGUCUCCCACCAACUAUAAGCUUCUUCUUUCAAUAGGGACACAGCACAUCUCAAAUAAUCAUCUGGUGAGCAAACCAUUUCUUUAAAAAUUCUUAUCAAACUUUGUAACCAAUAUUCAGCUUUGACGGGAUCUUCAUUAGUCCUUCCUGAAAUUCUUCGGCUCCAAGUUUUUUAAGCUUUUCCAAUAGAGAACGCUUACUAGAUUCAGUCGUUGUAGGAGGUGGAGGAGUAACCGGGGGUACCAUCGAUGGAGCAGUAGGGGGAGGAGGUGGUUCAGCAUGAUUUCUUUCUUGCCUCAUUUCAAUAUACCACUGAUUCAUAAUCUCAUAAAUCAUAUUCUUUAAUUCUUGCUCUCGCAUUUGGGAGAUCGGAACAUCACUGCUUGUUCUUUGUUCAGAAUUAUGUAUUCUACUAUUAACUUAUUCUUACUUAGUUCGUUCAGGUAUAUCUGACAUCUUUAUAACUGGAGAAUAUCUAUAAAAAUAACAAAGAUUAGAUCGGAUCAUACGCAUCACACUAUCACAGAUUUAUAUGGCAUGUAUUUCUAAACACUUUACACUUCACACAUAUUCCGAGAACCGGCUAAACCGGGAUCUGAUACCAAUAAAAUAUAACACCCUUUACCCAAGACCGUUGCCCGAGUCGAGCAUGAGGCGUUACUUGACUUAACUUAAAAGUUCAGGGCAUAAAAAUUUACUUUCAAAAUUAAUUUCACCAUUCACAAUAAAGCUGUCCACCUGCGCAGGAGUCACUAAAUCAAUUAUAACUCAAGCUACGAAACUCAAAAUUUAGAUCCGUAAAUUUUCCCUAAAACUAGACUCAUAUAAAUAUUCACCAUAAAUUUUUAAGAAUUUUUAGUUUAUCCAAUUAGUAUAGUUUAUUAGUUUAAGUCUCCCUUGUUUCACUAAUAGACUACCCUGACCUCUCGUCACUAAAAUUCAAUUAUCUCCUUAUACAGACUUGACAUGGUGCUUCCAAUUAUUUUUACUUAAAAUAUACUCAUUAAGGAAUUUAAAAAUAUAAUUUAUAACUCAUAAUUACUUUUUUACAAUUUUUAUUGAAUUUCUAAAUUCAGAACAGGGGACUUCAAAAUCAUUCUGACCCUGUCUCACUAAAAUUCAAAUAUCUAAAAGUAUAUAACUCUUUUGCUUACUCUAUUGCUUUCAUGUGAAAGUAUACUCAUUCAGAUUUAAUUUCAUAUCUCACUUAACUUAUAAUUCUAUUUCCACUAUUUUUGGUGAUUUUUCACAGUUACAUCAAUGCUGCUGUCCAAAAACUGUUCCAUUGAAAUUUUUAAAAAAAAUUCAAUAUAACCCCUUUAUAAUUAUCUAACCUUCCCUGCAAAUUUCAAAUCACAACCAAUUUCAGUAUUUCACCUACUUCACUUAAAUACUAAUGAAGUUCAACCAAUCAACCAUUUCAAACUAAAAACAUGUAUAGUUCAAUGUCUAACACAACCAUCAUAUUCAAAUUUACUUUGCAUACUUAGUCAUUCAUUCUAUUACUUUUUACUUCAAUUCCCUAUACAUGCCAUAUAAAUCCAAAAAGUUGUUUAACAAAAUCUACCAGAGUAAAUCUAGAUAGUGUGAUUCUUGGUGUAGAUCCGAUCCUCCGAAUGUAUAAAUACGUCAAUCUACAAGAAUCAAUAAACACAUAAUUAAGCUUAUAGAAAGCUUAGUAAGUUCAUAGGCACCAAACAUAAAUCUUACCAAACAUUUAUACACUUAUACAUUAUACACCAUUACUAAGUUUACCUGUCAACCACAAUCUUUGGUGAGUUCCUUGUUAUAAACUCACUACUACUUAUUCUUUUACCAUAAUUCCUUUGGGCCCAUUUGUCACUUACCAUCCUUGAUCAAAAUUAAGGAACGGUUACGGAAAAUUGAGUACUUCACUUUCACUUUGCCAUAGUAUAACUAUGGUCUUACAUAUGAUCACUUAUCACUUGUCCUUGAUAAGAUAAGUGUAGCUAGGCUACCACUUAUCACUUUGUCACUUGAUCAGAUAAUUGUAGCUAAAGCUACCACUUAUCACUUUAUCACCACUUAUCACUUGUUCCUGAUCAGAUAAGUGUAGCUAAAACUACCACUUAUCACUUUGUCACCACUUAUCACUUGUUCCUGAUCAGAUAAGUGUAGCUAAAGCUACCACUUAUCACUUUGUCACUUGAUCAGAUAAGUGUAGCUAAGCUAUCACUUAUCACUUUGUCACUUGAUCAGAAGUACUCAAAUUCGGUGUUCCGCUCAAUUUGAUCAUUUAUUCAGUUUUCACAUUUUUAUUUUAUUCUCAUUUCAUCAAUAAAUAUAUAUAUUUCAGCAUACAUUAUAUAAUUCAUGAAAUUAACAUUUAAUCAUUAAAUUUCAGCCAUAUGAACUUACCUGGGUCGAUUUAUUGAAUUUGUAAAAGUUCAGGGACUAAUCAGCUACUUUUUCUUUUCCUCGACUUGUUUCGGGUUCUCAAUAUGAUUCAAAUAUAUGAAAAACCAGCUUGGAUGGACUCUUCAAUGGCGUUUUUUGCUGAGAAAUAUGAUGAAUUGCCUAGAAACUCUUUUAGUUAAGAUUUUUAUUUGUUAACUUUUACAAAAUUUCCAAUUUUGCCCUUAUUACAUCACUUUUUCAGAUUUUUCUUCUCUUAUGCCGUCUCAACUAUUCCAUAUUAGCAUAUUUAUGCCUUAAGUCCCUCCUUAUUUGCCACUUAAGCUGUUUAAUCACUUUUAACAAAUUUUACAUUAUUUUCAGUUUAGUCCUUUUUAAUUAAUUAACCACCCAAACGUUAGAAUUUUCUAACGAAACUUUAAUAUCAAUUCAAUGACACUCUAUAAAUGUUUCUAAAAAUAUUUAUGGCUCGAUUGAUGAGUUUGAGGUUUCGAUACCUCAUUUUUUAUUCUAAUUAUUUUAAUAUUUAUUCUUAGUAUACUAUUCACUAUUUUAAAAAUUUUCCUAACUUCGCAUUUAACUUAUACUCACUAAAUUAAUAAUAUUUUCUACUCAUUUGUCAGAUUUAGUGAUCUAGAAUUACCAUUCCGACACCACCGAAAAUUCAGGCCAUUACAUUAUGUUUAUUGACUCAUUUUUUCUGUUGACUGAAUUUCAGGUAACUCAUCGACUUAGGCGGGUCGGCAUGGCGAGAGCUCGGUCAUCCUUAUUUAGUAAUUUUCUGUUUAAAUUAAACUUAUGCUAUAGUUGUUUUAUCUUGAAUUACAGAUUGCAAAUUUAUAUUUCUACACUAGUUCAACUAUUUAAACAUUUUCUGACAAUUAAACUUUAAUUAGUUAAAAGUGAGAAUUUCUUAAAUGAUUUGUUGUAGCUUUCCAAGCUUGGUCCUAACAUCUAGGUCGGGUUUGGGGUGUUACAACCCAAAACCCCCAAACUUUCCCCUCAAAACUUUUACUCCCCCACCCUUUCUCUUUCUCGCUCACCCUCCCAAACCCUUUUACUUUUCCCCCAAAACUUUUACUUCCCACUUUUACCCCCAAAUCAAAAAUCAAAAUCCUCCCAAAAAAAUCCUUAAACCUAAAUAGUAAUAAUUUUAUUUAUGGCCACUAUUUAUAUUAUAAAUUAAAUUUCACAUUUUCUAUUAUUUAUAUUAUUAAAUUGUUUAAUCAUUUUGAAUCUUUAUCAAUUUCUGUUAAAACUGUAUCAUUGAUGAUGUCAUACAUUAUUUGUGUUAAAAAUUUCUAUUGGUAUCAAUUUCACAUUUUAUCUUUAAAAUAAAUUUUAUUAAAAAAAUUACUUUUUUACAUUUAAUAUAUUUUUUAAUUUCAAAAUAUAUGGUGACAAGAAUUAGAAGAUAAUUGAAGCAACUAAGCAAGUAAAAAAGCUAACAUGUAUAUAAAAGAUUAAAUAAAUUAUGAAGGGAUGAAAGUUAAUAACACAUUUGAUUACGGUGGACAAAUUUGAUAAUGAUGGGUGACAGUGGCUACAAGGAUCCAAAGUAAUUUUUUCAAUUAACUGGAAACAAAUAUAUUCGAUUCGAUUCGAUAAAAUUUGAAAUCAUUUUAGGAUGAUAAAAUAAGAUUCGUCAACUCGAUUAACUCGAAGUUUUUUCAUUUGAUUCGAUUAGACGCUCACCCCUACAAAGUAUGACCGAUUGGUCUGAUUCUGAAAAAAAUUGGUUUUGAUCAAUGAAAGAACUUUUACGAUGGCGACAGGUCUAACAAACAGGUGAUAUUUUGAAAAGAAAAUUAAUCUCCAUAGUCUCAACCUUAGGAGGGUGAAUUUUGAGCAUUGCAUUUGUUGUCAUUGUUAGACAUUAUAAAGGAAGAAAAAAGAAAGAAAAAAGUUAAAAUGAGGGAAAUUAUUGAAAAAAAGAGAGAAGAGAAUAAUUAAUUUUUUUUAAAAUUUUACAUGUCAAUCUAUUAUUGAUUAGAUUUUUUUAAUGAGUGUAACAUUUUGGUGUUAAAUGGAUAAUAAAAAAAUAUUUUAAGUAUCAUUUAUGAUAAAAAUAUUUAGGUAUCAAUUUGAAAAAAAUAUGUAGCUUAGAUACUAAUUGAUGGGUUAAUUUUUUUAGCUUAAUAAUUUGAUUAAACCGAAAUACCAACUGAAAAAAAGUUUACUCGCCGCUUAUGAAAAAAAAUAAGUAUGAAUUUGUAAGUUAAAUCUCCCUAAAAGAAAAAAUAUAUCACAUUCAAUACGGGGUGAAUGAAGCAAUGAAUGCAAUGGGGUAUUACAACCAGCCACAUGUCAUUCAAUUCAUGUUAUAUCUACCUUGUUGGCCCCACAGGCGGUCUUUUCCAUUAUUUUCGAAGUGAACGACAUGAGUCGGACCUAUAUCGGCCCCAACAAACAACCUCAACCACUUGUUUUGUUAGGUUGUUGACUAAUUUGAAUAUGUCGGCUCAAAGCUUUUUGAAAAUUAAAUUAUUUUUUAUAUUAAUAUCAUAUAGGUAUAAAAAUUUAACGUUUUGUAAAAAAAAUAAAUUUAGUGUUAAAUUUAAAUAAUUAUAAAAAAUUAUACAAAAUACAAAGACAACUUAGAGUCAAUAAAAAAAAUAUGGAAAAUCAAUUCAUACAUGAAAUGGCAUAAAAAUAUUAUGAACACUAUACAAAUAUAUGAAUGUUUUUAUAUCUAUAUAAAAUAAGUUAUUAACGCUUAAAUUUCAACCAAUUAAAUAUUAAUUUAACUAUAAACUAUAAAAAAUUAAAAUUUCAUUUACCCUAAACAAUUAUUCUAAUUUCGCCCCUGUAUAAAAUAGUUGUAAUAUUAAAAAAAAAGUUAUACGAAUAUGGAGUGUUAAAAAAAAAGGCUUUCAACUUUUAAUAUUCCAAACAAAUAAAAGAAAUAAUAAUAACAGUUUACAAGUGCAAUAAAAGUAAUACAUAUUUGAUGAAUUAAAAAUAGAAUAAAUAUAACUAACUAUAACAGAAAUAUAUUUAGAUUUAAACCAAAUUUUUUUGAAGAUGAAAUUUGAACUCACAAAUAAUAUUUAUAAAUGAUGAUAUGUUUUAGAACAUGUAUAUUUUAAUUUCAUUUGAUAUUUAAAUUAAAUGAAUGAAAUGAGUAUAUUAGCAUAAAUAUAUUGAAUUUCUAGAUUUAUUAAAAAUCCAACUAAAUAGAGUAGAUCCAUAAAUUUAAAAAAUGAUUAUGGAUUUUGAAAUAUAAAUCUAAAAUUUAAAAUCUGAAACCCUCCUAAAUGUUUUCCAAAGUAAGGCGGGGAUAAAUGGUAUAGGGAAGACGGUGGGUAGAUAGAUGUACGGUUUAUUUAUAACUUCGUUUUUAUUAGUCGGCUUACAGUUUCAUAAAAAGCAUCCGUGCAAGGCAUGUUCAAAUGCUGCACUAGCAUACCACUACUAUAAAAAAAACACAUACAAGAGCACCACAAAUUUAUCCCAAAAUACAUUAAAUAAAUGACUCCUAAGGGUGCCAGAUUUAACUAGUGUGUCUGGGAUUGUAUUAGCCUCUCUGAGGCCAUGUGAAAAAAUUUAAUGUUAUUGUUAUAUUUCCAUCUCGAUACGUUGCAAGACAUGAAGCAAUCUGUAAACAACUCUCUUUUGGAAGCAGUUUGCAUACGACUCUUCGCUAAGAACCAUUUGUUGUGAUCUUUCGCUUAGGAUUGCUCACAAAUGACCCCCAUGCACCCUAUCUCUCUCCCUCCUUAACUCAUCAUCUUGAACUCUCAUCCUAUUAUAGGUGAAUCGAGACUCUUCUCCUCCACCCUUUCCUCGUUGGUUACUUGUAGCAAAAAAAAUUAAUUUCACCGAAAAUGUUGGAGAGAUCCCAUGGUCUAAGUGUGUUGUUAGAGCAAAGCUCGAUGGCAAAUUUGGAGUCAAAUUUUAGAAUCAACCCUUUAAAAUCCAUUACACCGUAAAGGAAAAUUUUUACAAUUACAUUAACAAUAAAUAUUCAAAAUUUACUCAUCUAUCUAUACUUAUAUUAAGCCUUAUUUGAGUUGGAGUCAAGAGUCAACUAGGUACUAACUCAGUUGAGAAUUUACUAAAUAAUUUUAAUAUAAAGUAAAAAAAAUAUUAAUACGAGGGUGUUUUUAUCUUUUCAUAUUUUUAAAUAAAAAUACUAUAAUAAGAUUUAAACUUAAGUUUAAAAUUUCAAUCAAAACAUCACUUAAAUUUAAAAUAACAUUUUUAUAUAAAAUGUGUUUAGAUUCUAAGAUAAUGAAAUUUAUGAUGAGGUAUUCAAAAUGUGUUUGAAUAUGCUAAUGAGAUAUUCAAAUUGGUAUGCACAUUCCUAAUCAGGGAGCAUUAAUGAUAAUUUAGUAAAAUAAAUUAUCUCAUUAGCAUAUAGUUUAUUAUAAAAUUAUUGUGUAAAAUAAACAAUUCACAAACUUAAGAAUUUAUAACACAAAAAUUAUACAUCAAUGUUGUUAGAAUUGUAUUAUAUCCAUCGGUUGAAUUUAAAUUUAAAAAUUUAAUCAGCGAUAAUAAUUAAAAUCGUUUCAAACUAGUAAAAUAUUGAAAAUUAAGAACUAAUAAAAUAGAUUCUAAUUAUUUUUAUUUAAAAAAUGUUACCUUCUUAUUCAGGUUACAUUAAGACAAACCCAUCUUAAUUAUAAGUAUCAUAUUGUGAAUGGUAAACUUCUUACACAACAUCCACCAUUUGUCCAAAUAUGUUAAAUUAGGUGCAACAUAGAAAUUUUAUUGUAAGGAGUGAAUCUCAUUGUUUUUAUUUUCAUCAAACAUACGUCUAACUUUAUUAUUACGGGAUUAGAACUUAAAUUUGAUAAAUUGUGUGGUUUUAGGUGAUUUCUUUUCGUUAAAUUUAUCUAAAUCAACCUAACACUCGAAAAGUGAGAAUUCUCCUAAAAAUUCUUUAUGUUAGCAAAAAAUAUAGUGGAAGUAACUUGAAACGAAAGAGCAAUGAGAGAAUUGAAAAGACACAAGAAAAUAAUGCAUACAAGGUGUUUGAGUAAAUGCUCUCAAUAAAUUCUUUAACUCAAGAAGGAAUGAAGUACAACCAGUAUCUAGCCCCCCUAAAAUAGAAAAUUUUCCAUUUAUAUACCUUUAUAAUUUAUAAAAUUUAAAAUUUUACUUUCCCAUAAAAUGAUAAAAAAUUGAUUUAUUUCUUUAAAAAUUAUAAAGAUGACUAUUAAAAUAGUAAAAUUGUAUUUUUAUUAUUGUAAAAAUAUACAAUUUAAUUCUGUCUCCCAAAUUUUUUUUUUUUGGUUUCAUCCCUAAGUACAAUGAUCGUUGUAGCAGGAUACAUAGGCAUUCUAGCACAGAAUGCAAAUAUGUUGCCAAUUAACUUCGAGUCAUGGCAUAAAGUGCCCGAGAGUAACAAGAACCAAGCUCUCGAUAACAUUAAGGUAACAAAAUGUGUAUAUCAUUUAUAAUACUUGAGUUUAAGUUUCGUUUACAUUUACUUUCUGAAGUUGUGUUUUUUGUAGGGGAGAUUUGCUCUAGAGGUCUCCGAUGCUUAUGUAAAGAAGGCAUUGGGAAAAAGAUGGAGAGACCAUAAGAGCACUUUAAAGAAAGACUAUUUUAAGACAAAAACAACACUCGACGAGAGAUUACAAAAUGUCACGCCGGGAAUGCUGAGGUACCAGUGGGAAGAAGUCGUUAGAUUUUGGACUUCGAAGAAAGGAGAGGUAUGUGUUACUACAAAAAUCUUGUAAUUAUUUUGGUUUAUAGUAUUUACUAAUUAACGUACUAAUAAUUUCAUAACGUAGGAUCGUGAACGAGUUGGAACAAGUAGUAGGCAGAAACAAAAAUUCACGCACACAGCUGGGUCGAGAAGUUUUGCGUGUGUAGCUCAGGCCGAGGUAUUUUGAAUUUUUUAAUACUGGCAGAUAUUUAUUACUUUCUAUCAAAUAAUAUUUUUACUAUUGUAUUGUAGGAAGUGUUGUCGGGUCAAAAAGUUGGACGCCUUCAACUUUUUGACAUUACACAUAGGAAGAAAGAUGGAAACCCUAUGACUCCUGAAGCUGCAGAAAUUAUGGUACGUUUGCUUAAUACAAUUUGACUUGUUUUAAUUAUUUAUGCUGUUUAUUUUCUAAUGUUUUUUAUUACAUUUCUUGUAAUGCAAAUAUUGUUAAGUUAUGUUGCAUUUGUUUUGUUAAUAUAUGUUGCGUUCUUAACUAUGUGAUUUAUUUUUUAGGAAAAACUGAAGGAUAAAAAGGCGGAGUACGAAGCGAUUGCUUCCAGUGAUAGUUCUGUUCAUAUUGACGACAUUGAUAACCGGAUUAUCACUGAAGUUUUGGGUCCUGAAAGGUAUGGUCGGGUUCGAUUUCAAGGAUCUUUUGUUAACCCAUCCCAAUAUUUUGGAUCCAGCUCGCAACAAUACAUGCAUUCGGGGAGUCAGGCUCAAGCUGAAGUUCAGAGGUUAAGAGACCAGAUAGCUCAGAUGCAAGCGGCAACGAGUGAGCAAAUUACACAACUUAAAGCGGAGGCAACAUCGAGAGAAGCUGAGGUUCAAAAAAGAUAUGAAGAACUCCAGCUACAACUUAAAGCAGAUGCGGCAGCGAGAGAAGCAGAGGUAGCAGCGAGAGAAGCUGAGGUUCAACGAAAGUAUGAGCAACUGCAGCAGCAGCUUAAAGAAGAUGCGGCAACGAGAGAAGCAGCGGCUGCAGCGAGGGAAGUAGAGGCUGCAGUGAGGGAAUCAGAACAGCAUAAAAAGUUCGAUGAACUCCAGCAGCAGCUUCAGAAUAUGAUGAAGAUGUUUCAGCAGUCGCAACCGCCGUCAUCUUAGACUAUCGUUUAAAUAUACUUCAAUUUUGACUUUGGUAUUAUUAUUUUAACUUUUACAAUUUCUGUCAGAAUAAUACGAAUUUUAUUUUAUUUAUUGACAUUUAUUUUAAAUAUUAUAUAGAUUUGGUUAGAUUUGGUUGGUUGGAUUUGGUUUCUUCUGAUUUGUUUUUAUAGGAGGGGGCUGAAAUUUUUUUUUUCAAAUCUGCAAAAAUUAGCGGCGUUUUUUUGGAUAAGCGCCGCUAAAGACCAUCGUCUAUAGUGGAAUUUUUUGGCUAAGCGCCGCUAAAGACCAUGGUCUAUAGUGGCAUUUUUCGGCUAAGCACCGCUAAAGACCAUGGUCUAUAGUGGCGUUUUUUGUCUAAGCGCCGCUAAAGACCAUGGUGUAUAGUGGCAUUUUAUGGCUAAGCGCCGCUAAAGACCAUGGUGUAUAGUGGCGUUUUUUGGCUAAGCGCCGCUAAAGACCAUGGUCUAUAGUGGCGUUUUUUGUCUAAGCCCCGCUGAAAACCAUGGUCUAUAGUGGCGUUUUUUGGCUAAGCGUCGCUAAAGACCAUGGUCUAUAGUGGCGUUUUGUGGCUAAGCGCCGCUAAAGACCAUGAUCUAUAGUGGCAUUUUUCGGCUAAGCGCCGCUAAAGACCAUGGUCUAUAGUGGUGUUUUUUAGGCUAAGCGCCGCUAAAGACCAUGGUCUAUAGCGGCGUUGCAAAGAAAACGCCGCUAAAGACCAUGGUCUAUAGUGGCGUUUUUUAGGCUAAGCGCCGCUAAAGACCAUGGUCUAUAGCGGCGUUGCAAAGAAAAUGCUGCGAAAGGUCUUGAUCUUUAGCGGUGUUUAUUAUAAAAAGCGCCGCUAAAGUUACCGACGCUGUCAUUAGCGGCGAUCCUUGCGGCGCUUCGUAAAGCGCCGCUAAAAGUAUUUGCGGCGCUAAAAAAUGCCGCUAUAGACCUAAAAAAGCGCCGCUAAAACCCUGUUUUGGUGUAGUGUGAGAUGAUUACAAAUGAAGGGGGAGAUCUCUAUUUAUAGUUGAGCUCCCCUAGAUCCAAUAGUAUAGAUUGAAUUACAUCAACGAUUGAGAUUAGUACUUAUCUACAAGAUGAGUCUUAAGGAUUUUAAACUCUAUACAUCUUUAUCCCUUAGGAUUUACAUUAAUUACUCUGGUAACUCUAGUUUUACUGGAGAGUUUCACUGAACCACCAAAGGUUUAAGUAGAUGAGCUUCUCCAUAUGUUCCACGAGUUGGACAAGUUCAAGCGGAUCAAAUGAGCCCAAUUUAAUUAGUUAAUCUCAAUAAAACGUUCUAUGCACAAUGAUCAUGAACUUUGAUCCACAUCUCAAAAUGAUCAGAUGAAUAAUCUCUCUUAAUUAUAUUUUUAUAAAACUUGAUAUUUUCAUUUAAAAAGAAACACAAUCACAUAUAAUAAUGUCUCCAAAAGAGUCGUCCACUUCAAAGAUUUAAAGUAAUGUAAGAAUGAACCCAACAUUUUUCAAUUAAAAAUAUGUCGAUAGAUAUAGCAAGUUGUAUAACCUUUCAAUUACAAAACAGAUUUCAAUGGGGAUUGCAUCCGGUACAUGCAACUAAAGAACAGAACCGGUGCAUAAAUUGAUUUAAUUAAACUUUGGGUUGAGUAAUCAUGAUUUUCAUUAUUAUUAGACUACGUGAAUGUUGAUAUAAAAUGCUUGAGAGAAGGGUAUAGAAGAAACACAAAAUAAUGAGUGAUAUUAAUUUGUAGAUAAAGAUAAUAUUACAUAGUCGCAAAAAGCGACCUAGUACACAACGCACAACUCUAAAUUAGGAUAACUCCUCUGCUAUCCCUAUGGAUGGAUUUUAACAUCCAUAUUUAUUCUGUAGCUAUCGUUAUUUUGGCUUCCACUAGCUGGUGAACUUUCCAUGCCAAAACUUCACUUAACCCUGCAAAUGAAACAACAAAAAACACAACAUUAAAUGUUGAGCAAUUAAUAAGCAUAAGCAAUGAAACAACUCAUACGAACCUGCUGCAGUCAGUGCUAGGGCUGAUCUUGUAAGGGAUGUUGACACCGCACUUGCCUGGGAGUCCGCUUGCAAUACCAUAGUUGAUGCCAGGAAUGCCGGCGGCCGCACUUUUGAUGCAUUUGCAAGCUGCUUGCCGGUCUGGUGUUGUUUGGGCGGCGGAGUUGAGAGAUUUGAUGCCGCUGCAGCAACCUUGGGGAACGGCACCAGCACCAUUCCCUCUCAAGUAAUUAAUGCAGGGUGCGAGGGAGCCUGUGACUUGACCACAGGUUACGGUCCCUUGAGCCAGGGGUGCACCCACCACCAUGCACAACACCACCACACAUGCAAGCUUAAGGGACAUUGAGCUAGCCAUAUCGAUUAAUUACAAGAAAAACAAACUUGUAAGGAAAAUGCUUGCUUGGAGUAGUAGUAGUAUUGCUGAUUGUUGCGUGGUUAGGGCCCGAGGGUAGGAGGGUUUUUAUAGCCAAAAGUUUUGUGAAGGGAUAUGGAACGAACUGAGAAACACGUACGAAUAGAAUAUGGUUAGGCGUUGGUAGUUGUCCCAAUUCAAUGCCAAGGUUUCUUUUUUUCUUUUUCAUGUUUCAGCUUAUGGUUGAGUGUGUUUAAUGCUUUGAAAAAGGUUUGUAUCUACCACUUUCAUCUUCAUCACUAAUGCUGAAUUACUCCGUUGAUUAAUGCAUCAUAUUAGCCUUGUCCUAGUGUUACCGGUUUUCUGAUAUUAGUAGCUUUACCAAUAAAAGAUGCUAUCAAAUAUAGUUUUCAGGAUGAUAUUAAAAAUUAAGGUUUUUUAGUUACAAAUAAAAUUGUCACAUUAUCAAAUUUUAAAGAUAUGAAAUUAUUAUUAUAAACUCAUCUAUAGAGAAAUUAUUUUAUGAGCCCUUUCCACCACAUUAUUCACAGUCCAUUUUCAAUUAUUUAAUAAUAUUUCAACAAUAUUUUUCAUGUCAUUGACACAUAAUUUUAAUAAAUUUUUUACCCUGAACCUUGAGUCUAGAAUCCCAAACCCUAAAUAAAAAACUUAAAACCCCAAACUAUAACCCCAAACACUUGCAUCAUAAACUCGAACCGCGAACCUCAAACUCAUAAUCUGUAACCUUGAACCCAAACUUGUAAUCUCGAACCCUUGAACCCUUGAACCCUGAACCUAAACCUUGAACCCUGAACUCAAAGCCCAAAACCAAAACUGAACCCUGAACCUUAAAUCUCAAACCCAAACCUUAAACCUCGAGGUUUGGGUUCAAGGUUCAAGGUUCAGGGUUUGAGUUCAAGGUUCGAGGUUUAGGAUAAAAUAAUUACCAAAAUUUGUAACAGAAUAAAAGAGUUCGUUUAUAAUUUAAAAAGCAAUUAUUUUAAGUAAUUUAAUUAAAGUGAAAUUAAGUUAGAGAAAAUAUUAGAUAUAGAUGAGUGUAUAAUAAUACUUUAUUGUCUUUAAAAUUUAAUGACGUGGUACUAUUUUAUUGGUGCCUCAAACUAUACUUUUUAGAAUAAUCCUAAUACAAUUUAUUCCCAUAUUAAAUACGUAUGCUUUCUAUAUUUUUUCGAAAAAAUAAAUUUUAUUCAUAAACUUUCUAUAUAUAAAUAUAUGUUUUAUUUAAAAUUUAUAAAUACAGAAAAAUUAAAAUAUAAAUAUAUGUCAAAGUAGCUAUUAAGUGUAGAAUUAAACAAUUAUAACAUAUAAAUAGAUUAAAAAUUAGGACAAAAAAUCAAUCUAUUACAUAAAAUAUAAAUUAUGAAUGAAAACAAUCUAAAUUAUAGUCUGGCUAAUCAAACUAAAACUUACAUAUAACCAUAUGACUUUAAGGGUCUUGAAUAUGGUUACUUAAAAGCUUAUAGUUCAGCUUUUACCCACUACGUCAAGGCUUCAUUUACGUUUUUUUUAACCAUAUAUUUUUCAUAUAAUUAUAUAUAUAUAUUUUGCAUAAAAAAUCCCCAAGACGUUAAUUACUUCUAUAUAAUGUAGCGAUUAAGUCCUCAAACAAAAAUUGCUCAACAUCAAUGCAUGUAUAGAUCAAUUUUAUAUAUCAAAGACCAAUACUAUCUUUUUCUUAAAAAAAAAAAAAAACCAAUAUGUUGUGAUUGCUUAGCUAUUGUUCCUAAGUCUUCCUGAAAAAGGUUUCACAGCGAGAGGAGAAAAAAAAAAGUUGAACUUGUCUUGGUUUGCCCCAUAAUGAUUGAAGCAUAGACAAGAUUAUAAAUGUUAAUUUAGUAUACGACAUAAUAAUAUAAUAUAAUAUAUUUAAAUGUAUAUCUCCUCACCUCCUAGACGCUGUCAGUUAUUUUAUUUUUUGGGAUUCUUUUAACAAAAGGUUGAGCUUUUUAUUAGGUUUUAUUUGAUUUUUCAUUUAUUAAUAUAAUUUUUUUAUUUUUAUAUAUUUUAGUUAUUAUUAAUUUUUGUUGGAAAUUUGUACGGUCUUGUUCUAACAACAAUUACAACAAGCUUUUUGGAACAAUCAAAAGUUUUGGGUGUUGGCAUGUUUGACUUUUAAUGGCUUAUGUUUUAAUAUUAGUUAACAACAAAUGAUAAGAGAAUUUCAUGGUAAAUUAGAAUAUAAUUAUCAUCCAUUUGAUUAGUCUUGAAGAGGAAGGAGAGGAGUUUUAACUUUGGUGGACACCCAUCCUUAUCCUUGUCUUUUAGAGUGUUUGAAGCUAUUGGAGAACUUGGUUUUAAAGAUUUUAUUUGAUAAAUAUUCAAAAUAAUUAAUUUGAUAAUUUCAACUUUUAAAGGAGAGUUUAAAACUUAUCAAAAUAUUAUUUGAUAAACACUUGUAGAGGCGUAUAAAUAGGCAACAGUGUGGUGUAACUUUGUUUGUUGUUUUGGAGUGUCUUAAACUUUUAUUUUUUUGCUAUUCCAUUGGGUAACUUUAUGACACUCUCUUUUUAGGUAUUAUUUGGAGAUGUUUAGUAAUUGUAUUGUGAGGAAUUUGAGUGAGUGAUUGCAUUGAAGAAAUGCGACCUAAAUGUAUAUGUUAAACUCUUAUCUAGGACAUAAAUUCCAUGAACAAGGUACCCAUGUUAAUAACAUGUCACCACUUCGCAUCUUUAUGGUAUUGACCCUAUGUAGUUAGACCCUAUAUGACGUAAACAACACUUAUAGUGUGCACGAUAUCGUAGGCUUGAACGUUGAUUGAAUGCAACCUAUAUUUUGGUGCCUUUGUCGGAAAUGAUGUAUGCAUCGGGUUGCGGUACAAAUGCCUUCUCAGGUUAGUUAAGAAGAAAUCCCAUUCAUCAUUGGAUUCUUCAGGAGUUAUUACAAAAGCUAUUGGCAGGAUUUUUAGGUUACCAUCUUAUGCAACAACUACUAACAACCGAUGGUCGCAUAUUCUAUACAGGAAUGUGCCGUUAAUUUGGAAAAGUGGCUUACAGUACCAAAAUGUAGUUCUGCAUUGCUUAAAAGUCCAAAAGCAACGGUGGAAAACUCCUUUUCCAGGGACCAAGCAAUCGUCAUAAUACGCAGGCUCCAUUUUUAACUUGGUUACAGAACCUAGUAUGUACCACUCUAGUAUCUAACACCAUUGCCACAAUUUAUAGUAGGAUUUCUCCCACCCUCUAUUCAUUUUCUCCAAUGCCUUCUAUUUUUGCAACUAUGUCUUAUGCUAGGACAUGGUGUAAUCGGAUUCUCUACAGAUGUGUGCGAUCAAAAUUGGGACCAGAAUCGUAGGACUUGCUUUUGCCAUGGGUAAUAGAAUUUUAGAUAUCAUGUCUAAAUCUAAUUUUGGAUGAUCAUUCGAUAUGCUUGAAAAACAAGAAAUCAAGUCACUAUGUGUAAUAGAAUGUAAAAAAAGGCUAGGAUUCGAGUCGAUGUUGUUAGCCAUAUUACAUACCAGCUACAACACAUGUAUGUGGCACGAUAAAUUUCCUACGUUUAAAAUGCCAACUUCUUCGUCAUAAAUGCCAUGAUUUUCCAUAGACAUCUUGUUGCACGCAUUGUGCGCAUCGCCUUAUAUUUCUCGGAUUGAGAGCAUGUAAUAGUGAAGUUGACACCAAGUUGUAUGCUAUACUACUUGAUUGUAGCUACAAAAGCAUAUUUGGAGUCAAAUUCCAUCCCAACCUCUAAGUGGUCGAAAUUUGUUGAUGAAGUCGCAUACCUUAGUCUUCUACGGGGGAGGUCUGGGAAUUCUAAAACCACUUUCACUAGUAAGACUGAGAGUACGCAUAUGGGGUGGGGGUUUGUAUUUCGUGAAACUUAGGUCAUCCCCUCGAGCGAUGUCUAAAGCUUGACCAUUAGAUCCAUCGUCUUCUAGUUCAGUAGGAAUGGGAUCUAGUUCUAAAAUUACUACAAUUUCGCACCAUCCAGUCCAACCACCUCUCCUGGGUCAUUAUCUGAUUUAGACCCCUCUUUGACCACUUUGUUCUCUUGUCCCUCUUUGUUAUCAACCCUGGUUGUAAGUCCAGGGUUGGAUGUACCCUCUCUGGUCAAAGUUGUCAAGAGUAGAUCAUUCAUUCUUGUAAAUCCGAUGUCAAUCCCAAAAUCAAUUCUGUUUGGCCUACCCAGUAACUUGAUGGUGUACCAUAUGAGUGUUAUCGAGGUUGAACAUAGGUGUGUCAAAGUUGAAACCAAAGGCACUGAUAGAAUGUUGUGCGGCUGUGUUGUAGGCCUGGUGACCGAAUACGUCUAACUAUCCCCCGAAGUUGAAAUCGAGGGAUGAAAUCGAUGAAUGCCUCACCAUUGAUGAUGUUAAUAAUGUGUCUUUGUAUAAGCUUUGUAGAAAUGAUCUGAAUCCACAACAAAACCGUGUGGCCAGACUUUUUGCUUCUUGAUUUGGCUAGAAAUUUGGCGGACACGGUAUAAUCGAGCUUGGGCCACCUUUUUCCUCUUCAGCAAAGACUGUAUAUUCUCACUAGAGUAAUGAGUUUCGAUCACUGUCUUCAAACCGUUGUCCCCUGUGAUCUGAAAAAUGGAAUAUCUAACGGGGUUAAAUGAUGUUAGAUAUCUACAUUUCAGGCUCAAAAUUCUUCUUCAGAUCCCUACUUUAUGCCUAAACCUUGUUCAAAGCUCUUUUAACGUUAUGCUCUAGUUGAAUGUCAGAUCUUUAGAUUGGGUUGAUACAAAAAUGGGCUCAAUUUCAGCCUCACAAUUUUGACCGUUGUAAUGGACAAUAGCUCUGGCUCGUCUCCUCAUCUUGAACCAAAUAUUCUAUUCCACAUGUUUAAAAUCGAGAAAAUUGUAAAAAUAUAGUUCUCAUCACCCAAAUCCCUAAAUUUACACUUACUUUAAUGAAAUACCUUUGCUUCGACAAUAUUGUCAGUAUAAAAUUUUUGUUUUUUACUACAACAUCGAUAACUCCUAAUGCCAACAAUCUGCUUCAAACAUCUGUAUGGAAAAUCCAAGAAUUAUAUUGAGUUUUUUUAUAGAGCCUUUUCCUCGACGCACAUGAAACGAUUCUAGCAACAACACAUGUCAAGGCAUUAGUUGUUUUUGAGGUAUACACUAAAAAUUAAAAUUUGUGGGGGAGAAAACGUUCCCCGCAACGAUGUUUUUCAGCACCUAGACAUAGCAUUGAAAUUUAUCCUAGGAAUCCCGGGUUGUAGGGGCUUAGAGGUUGAAGCAAUCAAGUUGGCUUGGGUAUUGAAAGACCAUAAAGAAAAUGCCUAUUGCAGGAAGCAUUUCCACCUGACUUGGCAAUCAAAAUGCCUCCUGCAGGACGCGUUUUCCAGCCACAUCUCUGAUAUGUUAGUCGAAAACGCAUCUUGCAAGAGGCGUUUGUACUGCCAUGUUAGGUAAAAACACUUCCUGCAGGGAACAUUUUCUUUAUGGCCAUUUCAACACCCAGGCCAACUUAAUUGCUUCUGCCUCUGAGCCCUUACAACACGGGAUUCUCGGGAUAAAAAAAUUUCCCUUUUUACCCCACCCCAUCCCUUAUAUAAAUGCAUGUUCUCAUCCCCUACUCACCCAUAUCUCAGUCUCCUUUAAAUUAUUUUUUUCUUUUUCUUCCGUGUUGAAAUUUUCAAGUUUAAAGAUUUAUUUCUCUCACACUUUGAGGGGGAUGUAAUCAUAGUUUUAAGUUGUGUUUGAGUUCACAAUAAUGUCGUGGCGCUUGAUAACUUACAAAUUUCACUUGUCGUGUGAGUAUGGAGCCAUCACUUGAGAAAUCGAGAUCGCUUUGCAACUCGAGGUCCAAGUUGACGGUGUAAAUAAGGCUUCAAGUUUACAAAGGUUAUGCUAUUAAAAGGAUGGAGCAAAACCGGGACUGUAGUUGAUGAUGGUGAUGCAAGCACAAGAACUAGUUUUUCCUCAUUGGAAGAGCAUACUUUAUAAAAUCCAUAUACAAGUACGAGGGAGAAAAUCACAGGGGUCUUCCAGUAUAAUCAAGUAAUUCAUUUUAUCCUUUUCCAGCAAAGGCAAUGACCCUGUUACUAAAACCUAUUACAUCCCAAUUCUAUCAUAGGUAAUAGUAACGGUGUCACUGUCUUUGGUGGAGAUGGAUAAAAAAAUUUACUUAAUUAUACUGAGAUACCAUUGCAUUUUUCUUCCUCGUACUUGUGUAUGAGUUUUAUAAAGCAUCAUUUUCUAAUGAAAAAAGUUUUUUGUCGUGCCCGCAUAACCAUUGUAAAUUACAGCUCCAAUCAUACUCCGUCCUUUGAUAGCGUAACAUUUUGUAAACUUGAAGCUCUAGUUACACUUCAAUUUCAGACCGUAUAAUCACCCUUAACUGGGACCAUGAGUUGCAAUGCGAUCUGGCUUCUCGGGUGAUGGCUCCAUACUCACAUGACAAAUGAAAUUUGUAGGUCACCUAACUCCACGACACCACCAUAAAUUCAAACAUUCCUUAAAACUAUAACAGUGUCUAUCUCAAACAAGAAUGAAAAUAAAUGUUCAAACUUCUAAUUUCAAAUUGCAAGAAAAAAAAAAGAAAAAAAUAAAUUUUAGCAAAGUAAAAAUGGGUCCUACCGGCACAUUUUCAUUGCCACAUCAAUGAAAAUACACCUCGUACGACACGUUAUUCUUUCUUCGUAAACAAUGUAAAUCAAUAAAUUUAAAAAAAAAUUAUACAUUCUCAAAUAACUCUUUUUUUCAGCAUUUUUGUUAAAUUUAUCCCAUAAUACUGCUACUUCUUGUUUCCUGGGUUAUUUUUAUUACUGCUGGUUGUACCACCCUCCUACUGUGCGCCGGUUAUAGCAACUCACUCAAGAUUCUAAAUACUAAUAUAAACACCAUUUCUUUUAUUCUUAGUUUUUUUAGUGAUUAACGUGGUUUUAAUUAUCGUUAGAUCACGUGGGUGUUUAUAUGAAAUGCUUGAAAUCGUCACGCAGGACAAAAAAAAAAAAGAAAAAGAAAAGGAAAUGAAGAGUAUAUAUAUAGAGGAAACAACUAGUGAGAGUGAUAUUAAUAUUUAGAGUAGGUAAAGAUAGUAUUAUAUAGUCGCAUAUGCGACCUUGUACAUUACCACUAACUCUAAAACUAGGAUAACUCCAACAAUGAAUAGUACCGCUAUGGAUUUUUAACAUUCAUUUUUAUUCUGUCGACAUCACUAUUUCCCUUCCAUUAGCUGAUCCCAACUUCCAUGACCACACUUCACUUAAUGCUGCAAAUGCAACCACACCAAACAAAACAUUCAUAAAUUAAUAAAUCAAUUGCCAUAAGCGAUAAACUUUGGGUCAUUUUCUUUUUCCGUAAUUUCAAAGAAACCUAGUUUAAAUUAGAUACGAACCUUUUGCAGUCAGUGGAAGGGCUGAUCUUGUAAGGGAUGUUGAUACCGCACUUGCCUGGGAGUCCGGCUGCAGUGCUAUAGUUGAUGCCAGAAAUGCCGGUGGCCGCACUUUUGAUGCAGCUGCAAGCUGCUUGCCGGUCUGGUGUUGUUUUGGCGGCAGAGUUGAGAGAUCUGAUGCCGUUGCAGCAAGCUGGGGGAG